GAUGAACGCUGGCGGCGUGCCUAAUACAUGCAAGUCGAGCGAACAGAUGAGGAGCUUGCUCCUCUGACGUUAGCGGCGGACGGGUGAGUAACACGUGGAUAACCUACCUAUAAGACUGGGAUAACUUCGGGAAACCGGAGCUAAUACCGGAUAACAUAUUGAACCGCAUGGUUCAAUAGUGAAAGACGGCUUUGCUGUCACUUAUAGAUGGAUCCGCGCCGCAUUAGCUAGUUGGUAAGGUAACGGCUUACCAAGGCAACGAUACGUAGCCGACCUGAGAGGGUGAUCGGCCACACUGGAACUGAGACACGGUCCAGACUCCUACGGGAGGCAGCAGUAGGGAAUCUUCCGCAAUGGGCGAAAGCCUGACGGAGCAACGCCGCGUGAGUGAUGAAGGUCUUCGGAUCGUAAAACUCUGUUAUCAGGGAAGAACAAAUGUGUAAGUAACUAUGCACAUCUUGACGGUACCUGAUCAGAAAGCCACGGCUAACUACGUG
This 497-nucleotide ribosomal RNA is filed under the name uncultured bacterium. RNAcentral describes it as "partial 16S ribosomal RNA". It matches the Rfam family "Bacterial small subunit ribosomal RNA", at positions 28 to 507 of the family's 1533-position model. The record is from RNAcentral.